Rhopalosiphum padi (bird cherry-oat aphid) is the source of this 679-nucleotide long non-coding RNA. RefSeq lists it as uncharacterized. The transcript has 3 exons. Lineage: Eukaryota; Metazoa; Arthropoda; Insecta; Hemiptera; Aphididae. The record is from RefSeq and is a predicted model, not a curated record.
UGCAUUUAAGUUUUAACUGAAAAUUGUUUUUAAAUAUUUUGUAUUAAGAAUAAAGUUGUUCAGAUAAUUAUUGUUUGAUUGUUUCCGUUACUGACUUAUUCAGUAUUUUCCAAGUACUAGUUAUCAUAUAAACAUUUUCGUUCUAAUUAUGGUGUGUAGUAGUGACUUUAUUUACUACAAUUAUACGCAUAUUUAACUGACUACAAUAUUUUCAGAUUGCAAUACAGCAGACAAUGAAAGCCAUGGUGAGACAUGAAUUCGCGAUUCUAUCAGUUUGGAAAAUAUAAACAUCCUACGAUGACAAUGGACUAGAAGAUACUGAUAAUAAUAAUUGUUUUAUUCAACAUGGCAAUACAGCAGAUGACUCAAGGAAUGCUGAGACAUUUAUUCAUAUGCAUACAACUUUGGAAAAGUAUGAACAUCCAAUGUUGAAAAUGAACUAAAAGAUACUGAUUAUAAAGAAUUAAUGCAAUAUGGAAAUACAGCAGGUCACUCAAGGGAUGCUGAAACAUUAAUUUCUAUUCAUACAACUUUGAGAAAGUAUGAACAUCCAAUUUUGAAAAUGAACUAACAAAUACUGUUUAUAUUGAAUUUAUGCAAUUUACAUUUAAUGGUUAUUGAAUAUAAUUUAUAGAAUAUUAAUUGUAGUGAUACAAUAGAGAUUUGUUAACAAAGUGAA